Molecule: ribosomal RNA, 675 nt
Filed under: uncultured eukaryote
Lineage: Eukaryota
Description: SSU rRNA
Rfam family: Eukaryotic small subunit ribosomal RNA
Source: RNAcentral
AAUUGGAGGGCAAGUCUGGUGCCAGCAGCCGCGGUAAUUCCAGCUCCAAUAGCGUAUAUUAAAGUUGUUGCAGUUAAAAAGCUCGUAGUUGGAUUUCUGGUGGGGCUGUCGGCCUGGCUCCGAAAGGGGUCGGUGCUUGAACACGCCUGGCCAUCCUCGGGGGAAGCUUUGCUGGCAUUAGGUUGUCGGCGGAGUGACGCUCGUCGUUUACUGUGAACAAAUUAGAGUGUUCAAAGCAGGCUUAGGCCGUUGAAUACAUUAGCAUGGAAUAAUGAGAUAGGACUUUGGUGGUCUAUUUUGUUGGUUUGCACGCCGAAGUAAUGAUUAAUAGGGGCGGUUGGGGGUAUUCGUAUUCAAUUGUCAGAGGUGAAAUUCUUGGAUUUAUGGAAGACGAACUACUGCGAAAGCAUUUACCAAGGAUGUUUUCAUUAAUCAAGAACGAAAGUUAGGGGAUCGAAGAAGAUUAGAUACCUUCGUAGUCUUAACCAUAAACUAUGCCGACUAGGGAUUGGCGGUCGCUUGUUCAGGCUCCGUCAGCNCCUUAUGAGAAAUCAAAGUCUUUGGGUUCCGGGGGGAGUAUGGUCGCAAGGCUGAAANUUAAAGAAAUUGACGGAAGGGCACCACCAGGAGUNNNNNNNUNCGGCUUAAUUUGACUCAACACGAAUCCCCGCGGNC